GGGGCCGAUCUGGAUUCGACCGGUCAGAUCCGUUGCGUUUGUGGCGCGUCGAGGAGCAUGCAGGCCUCGUAAAAAGCAUGCAAAACAUUAACUGCCGAGCGUAACUACGCUCUCGCGGCCUGAUAUCAGGCCGUGCAGCCCCUGUCACACGCCUGCUAAGGCGGGGGCUGAAGACAGCAGGCUGGCAGAGAUCCGCCGUCCGCGGGGGUCACACUGCGAGACAACACCGGGGACUUGUCCGAAGGGGAGGGUGUCGUGCCCCGCUUCAAGGACGAGAACAAAUGCACGACUACACGCGUAGAGGCGGCGCAUCGACUGUUCGGGACGGGGGUUCAAGUCCCCCCGGCUCCAUUG
This 354-nucleotide transfer-messenger RNA is filed under the name Phycisphaerales. Its description in RNAcentral is "JABWBB01 sp013360675 Standard tmRNA". It matches the Rfam family "transfer-messenger RNA". From Rfam's summary of the family: Bacterial tmRNA, also known as 10Sa RNA or SsrA, is named for its dual tRNA and mRNA-like properties. Its role is to liberate the mRNA from a stalled ribosome. RNAcentral also lists the same sequence under 1 other name. Lineage: Bacteria; Pseudomonadati; Planctomycetota; Phycisphaerae. The record is from RNAcentral.